AAGCGGACAGCGGCGGACGGGUGAGUAACGCGUAGGCAACCUGCCCCUGACAGAGGGAUAGCCAUUGGAAACGAUGAUUAAAACCUCAUGACACCGUAGUAGCACAUGCUACAUCGGUCAAAGAUUUAUCGGUCAGGGAUGGGCCUGCGUCUGAUUAACUGGUUGGUGAGGUAACGGCUCACCAAGGUGACGAUCAGUAGCCGACCUGAGAGGGUGAUCGGCCACAUUGGAACUGAGACACGGUCCAAACUUCUACGGAAGGCAGCAGUAGGGAAUCUUGCACAAUGGGCGAAAGCCUGAUGCAGCAACGCCGCGUGAAGGAUGAAGGCCUUCGGGUUGUAAACUUCUGUUCUAAGGGAAGAAAGAAAUGACGGUACCUUAGGAGCAAGCCCCGGCUAACUACGUGCCAGCAGCCGCGGUAAUACGUAGGGGGCAAGCGUUAUCCGGAAUUAUUGGGCGUAAAGAGUGCGUAGGUGGUUACCUAAGCGCAAGGUUUAAAUUAGAGGCUCAACCUCUACAUGCCUUGCGAACUGGGCUACUUGAGUGCAGGAGGGGAAAGCGGAAUUCCUAGUGUAGCGGUGAAAUGCGUAGAUAUUAGGAGGAACACCGGCGGCGAAGGCG
Molecule: ribosomal RNA, 621 nt
Filed under: uncultured Clostridium sp.
Lineage: Bacteria; Bacillati; Bacillota; Clostridia; Eubacteriales; Clostridiaceae
Description: bacterial SSU rRNA
Rfam family: Bacterial small subunit ribosomal RNA
Source: RNAcentral